This 497-nucleotide ribosomal RNA is filed under the name uncultured bacterium. RNAcentral describes it as "partial 16S ribosomal RNA". It matches the Rfam family "Bacterial small subunit ribosomal RNA", at positions 28 to 507 of the family's 1533-position model. The record is from RNAcentral.
GAUGAACGCUGGCGGCGUGCCUAAUACAUGCAAGUCGAGCGAACGGACGAGAAGCUUGCUUCUCUGAUGUUAGCGGCGGACGGGUGAGUAACACGUGGAUAACCUACCUAUAAGACUGGGAUAACUUCGGGAAACCGGAGCUAAUACCGGAUAAUAUUUUGAACCGCAUGGUUCAAAAGUGAAAGACGGUCUUGCUGUCACUUAUAGAUGGAUCCGCGCUGCAUUAGCUAGUUGGUAAGGUAACGGCUUACCAAGGCAACGAUGCAUAGCCGACCUGAGAGGGUGAUCGACCACAUUGGAACUGAGACACGGUCCAGACUCCUACGGGAGGCAGCAGUAGGGAAUCUUCCGCAAUGGGCGAAAGCCUGACGGAGCAACGCCGCGUGAGUGAUGAAGGUCUUCGGAUCGUAAAACUCUGUUAUUAGGGAAGAACAUAUGUGUAAGUAACUGUGCACAUCUUGACGGUACCUAAUCAGAAAGCCACGGCUAACUACGUG